This is a long non-coding RNA of Oncorhynchus tshawytscha (Chinook salmon), 456 nucleotides long. NCBI's taxonomy places the organism in Eukaryota, Metazoa, Chordata, Actinopteri, Salmoniformes, Salmonidae. The record is from Ensembl.
AAUAGGUAAGGAAUAGGUAAGGAAUAGGUAAGGAAUAGGUGAGGAAUAGGUGAGGAAUAGGUAAGGAAUAGGUGAGGAAUAGGUGAGGAAUAGGUGAGGAAUAGGUGAGGAAUAGGUAAGGAAUAGGUAAGGAAUAGGUAAGGAGUAGGUAAGGAGUAGGUAAGGAGUAGGUAAGGAAUAGGUAAGGAAUAGGUAAGGAGUAGGUAAGGAGUAGGUAAGGAAUAGGUAAGGAAUAGGUGAGGAAUAGGUGAGGAGUUUCACAAUAUAUAUUAUUUUUAUGGAAUAAAAGCAGACAAUGGUAGAACACUUCAUUGUGAGGCUGAAUAUCAGGGAACAGAUAAAUAUCAGGGAACAGAUACAUAUCAGGGAACAGAUAAUUAUCAGGGAACAGAUAAAUAUCAGGGAACAGAUACAUAUCAGGGAACAGAUACAUAUCAGGGAACAGAUACAUAUCAG